This 669-nucleotide ribosomal RNA is filed under the name Inocybe iringolkavensis. RNAcentral describes it as "eukaryotic LSU rRNA". The stretch from base 261 to 414 matches the Rfam family "5.8S ribosomal RNA". The record is from RNAcentral. Lineage: Eukaryota; Fungi; Basidiomycota; Agaricomycetes; Agaricales; Inocybaceae.
AUCAUUAUUGAAUAAACUUGAACGGGCUGUUUGCUGGCUCAUUAAGAAGAGCAUGUGCACGCUUGUCAUCUUUAUUUGUCCACUGUGCACAACUUGUAGAUCUGGAACGGUUUCUGAAAUUUUCUUUUCGAUUGAGGACUGCUGUGGCUUUAGCAAAAGGUCCAGCUUUGUUGCCCUUGCAUCUUUCAGAUCUAUGUUUUCACAAUCUCUGAAUGUGAUUUAGAAUGGUUUAAAGCAAAUAAUAAUAAUAAUAUUAUAACAACUUUCAGCAACGGAUCUCUUGGCUCUCGCAUCGAUGAAGAACGCAGCGAAAUGCGAUAAGUAAUGUGAAUUGCAGAAUUCAGUGAAUCAUCGAAUUUUUGAACGCAUCUUGCGCUCCUUGGUAUUCUGAGGAGCAUGCCUGUUUGAGUAUCAUAAAAGUUCUCAACCACAUUGAUUUUAAUGUGGAAUUGGAUGUGGGGGUAUUUGUUUGCAGGCUUUCUUUUUAAGUCAGCUCCCCUAAAAUAUAUUAGUAGUGUCUGAAGCAGACCCACUACAGAUGUGAUAACUAUCUACAUCAUAGUAGUAUACACUGCACGAUAUUGCUUCAAAUCAUUUAUAUCAUUUGACCAAUUUGAUCUCAAAUCAGGUAGGACUACCCGCUGAACUUAAGCAUAUCAAUAAGGCGGA